This 991-nucleotide ribosomal RNA is filed under the name Maribacter sp. AD096. Its description in RNAcentral is "bacterial SSU rRNA". It matches the Rfam family "Bacterial small subunit ribosomal RNA", at positions 56 to 1034 of the family's 1533-position model. The record is from RNAcentral. Lineage: Bacteria; Pseudomonadati; Bacteroidota; Flavobacteriia; Flavobacteriales; Flavobacteriaceae.
UGCAAGUCGAGGGGCAGCGGGGAAAAGCUUGCUUUUCCGCCGGCGACCGGCGCACGGGUGCGCACCGCGUAUGGAACCUGCCUUGUACAGGGGAAUAGCCCAGGGAAACUUGGAUUAAUGCCCCGUAGUACCGUAUUUCGGCAUCGUUAUACGGUUAAAGCCUUCGGGCGGUACAAGAUGGCCAUGCGUCCCAUUAGCUGGAUGGUAAGGUAACGGCUUACCAUGGCUACGAUGGGUAGGGGCCCUGAGAGGGGGAUCCCCCACACUGGUACUGAGACACGGACCAGACUCCUACGGGAGGCAGCAGUGAGGAAUAUUGGACAAUGGAGGAGACUCUGAUCCAGCCAUGCCGCGUGCAGGAAGAAUGCCCUAUGGGUAGUAAACUGCUUUUAUACGGGAAGAAAAAGAGCUACGUGUAGCUUACUGACGGUACCGUAAGAAUAAGGACCGGCUAACUCCGUGCCAGCAGCCGCGGUAAUACGGAGGGUCCGAGCGUUAUCCGGAAUUAUUGGGUUUAAAGGGUCCGUAGGCGGGCCGAUAAGUCAGGGGUGAAAGUCUGCCGCUCAACGGUAGAACUGCCUUUGAUACUGUCGGUCUUGAGUUAUAGUGAAGUUGCCGGAAUAUGUAGUGUAGCGGUGAAAUGCAUAGAUAUUACAUAGAACACCGAUUGCGAAGGCAGGUGACUAACUAUAUACUGACGCUGAUGGACGAAAGCGUGGGGAGCGAACAGGAUUAGAUACCCUGGUAGUCCACGCCGUAAACGAUGGAUACUAGCUGUCCGGAACCUUGAGUUCUGGGCGGGCAAGCGAAAGUGAUAAGUAUCCCACCUGGGGAGUACGUUCGCAAGAAUGAAACUCAAAGGAAUUGACGGGGGCCCGCACAAGCGGUGGGAGCAUGUGGUUUAAUUCGAUGAUACGCGAGGAAACUUAUCAAGGGCUUUAAUUGCAUAUUGGACAGGGUCAGAGAUGACUUUUUCCUUCGGGCCAAUUUG